This 508-nucleotide ribosomal RNA is filed under the name uncultured Desulfobulbus sp. RNAcentral describes it as "bacterial SSU rRNA". It matches the Rfam family "Bacterial small subunit ribosomal RNA", at positions 903 to 1382 of the family's 1533-position model. Lineage: Bacteria; Pseudomonadati; Thermodesulfobacteriota; Desulfobulbia; Desulfobulbales; Desulfobulbaceae. The record is from RNAcentral.
UUGCCAGCCCGCUCAAGAAACUCAAAGGAAGUUGACGGGGCCCGCACAAGCGGUGGAGUAUGUGGUUUAAUUCGAUGCAACGCGAAGAACCUUACCUGGUCUUGACAUCCCGGAGACCCUUAGGAAACUAGGGGGUGCUUCCAUCUGGAAGAAUCUGGAGACAGGUGCUGCAUGGCUGUCGUCAGCUCGUGUCGUGAGAUGUUGGGUUAAGUCCCGCAACGAGCGCAACCCUUGCCUUUAGUUGCCAGCAGUUCGGCUGGGCACUCUAAAGGGACUGCCGGUGUUAAACCGGAGGAAGGUGGGGAUGACGUCAAGUCCUCAUGGCCUUUAUGACCAGGGCUACACACGUACUACAAUGGCCGAUACAAAGGGCAGCGACACUGCGAGGUGAAGCCAAUCCCGUAAAAUCGGUCUCAGUCCGGAUUGGAGUCUGCAACUCGACUCCAUGAAGUUGGAAUCGCUAGUAAUCGUGGAUCAGCAUGCCACGGUGAAUACGUUCCCGGGCCUU